UGAUAGCUGUGAAGCGGGAGGUUGCUGCUCACUUCCAGGAAGCAGGGAAUUUCCGCUGAGCGAAUGUCAAGUCAAGAAACUGGCGACA
This 88-nucleotide non-coding RNA is filed under the name bovine gut metagenome. RNAcentral describes it as "S10-Clostridia ribosomal protein leader". It matches the Rfam family "S10-Clostridia ribosomal protein leader". The record is from RNAcentral.